CAGUCGCCGCGGUAAUACGAAGGGGGCUAGCGUUGUUCGGAAUUACUGGGCGUAAAGCGCACGUAGGAGGACAUUUAAGUCAGGGGUGAAAUCCCGGGGCUCAACCCCGGAACUGCCUUUGAUACUGGGUGUCUAGAGUAUGGAAGAGGUGAGUGGAAUUCCGAGUGUAGAGGUGAAAUUCGUAGAUAUUCGGAGGAACACCAGUGGCGAAGGCGGCUCACUGGUCCAUUACUGACGCUGAGGUGCGAAAGCGUGGGGAGCAAACAGGAUUAGAUACCCCGGUAGUCCCUGUCUCUUAUAC
RNAcentral lists this ribosomal RNA (301 nucleotides) under uncultured bacterium. RNAcentral describes it as "partial 16S ribosomal RNA". It matches the Rfam family "Bacterial small subunit ribosomal RNA", at positions 509 to 807 of the family's 1533-position model. The record is from RNAcentral.